GAUGAACGCUGGCGGCGUGCCUAAUACAUGCAAGUCGAGCGAACAGACGGGGAGCUUGCUCCUCUGACGUUAGCGGCGGACGGGUGAGUAACACGUGGAUAACCUACCUAUAAGACUGGGAUAACUUCGGGAAACCGGAGCUAAUACCGGAUAAUAUAUUGAACCGCAUGGUUCAAUAGUGAAAGACGGUUUUGCUGUCACUUAUAGAUGGAUCCGCGCCGCAUUAGCUAGUUGGUAAGGUAACGGCUUACCAAGGCAACGAUGCGUAGCCGACCUGAGAGGGUGAUCGGCCACACUGGAACUGGGACACGGUCCAGACUCCUACGGGAGGCAGCAGUAGGGAAUCUUCCGCAAUGGGCGAAAGCUUGACGGAGCAACGCCGCGUGAGUGAUGAAGGUCUUCGGAUCGUAAAACUCUGUUAUUAGGGAAGAACAAAUGUGUAAGUAACUAUGCACGUCUUGACGGUACCUAAUCAGAAAGCCACGGCUAACUACGUG
Molecule: ribosomal RNA, 497 nt
Filed under: uncultured bacterium
Lineage: Bacteria
Description: partial 16S ribosomal RNA
Rfam family: Bacterial small subunit ribosomal RNA
Source: RNAcentral